UGAAAAUAAAUGAAAUCCCCACCUCUCUCCUUGGUUCCUUGAAUUGCUUAGGAUUCCUAGGAUCACAACCAAAAAUGCAAAUAAAAUAUGAUAUACAUAUGAUGACCUAUGUAUAACAUCCAAAUUAAAAUUGGGAUGUUACACCUAGCCCCGUUUCCUACGAUCCCGCGGUCGCUGCCCCUGCUCCAUCCGACCUCCCUCGUCAGCCGCCGCCGCUAUGGCUCCUCCGUCCACCGACUCUAUCUCCCCAAUUCAUCCUCCAUCCCUUUCUGCUCGAGGUGCUCAUCGGCCCAGGUCGUGAGGAAGCCGCGUGAGGAGGAGAGACCUCGCCCGAGAAGCUGUGGGAGGAGGGCCUCAACCAGAGAGGAGCGACUGCUAGCCAUGUAGUCGGCUUGGCUCGACGCCGUCCUUGGAGACCGGGCCGCGGCAUACCCUAGAGCCAUGAGUCUUCACGACCUCCAUGUGCGCAUCUUUCAGGAUUUAAUAAUGAGUUAUCUUGGGCUUCAUUGGACAAAUGAUCUACCUAGAGCAAUGAUAUAGGUUCUACUGCAACAGUACAACAUACAAAGUGAUGGAGGAGAGGUGUUCAGAGAAAGAGUUAUACAUCUGCCAGGUUCUGACGUAUGAGGAUUCGGUGCGACAGGAAGCAGCUCUGAAUACGGUUCCUGUAGAUGAACUUAAGGAGAAGGCGCUUAGUUCAUUGGCCAAGGAAACAUGUGAAAAAGGUGGGAUCUUUCCGUCGACUUUCGCAGCUGGCUAUAUGCAUCAUAGAGCAUCUAAUCUGCAUCAAGUUUAGACAUGGAUAUUAUUGUGAAUAAUUCGGUGUUAAUGCUCAUACGUGUGGAGCGUCGACCACGGCGAGCUUGGCUAAUGUUAACACGUGAAGCUGGGUCAAGUACAGAAGACGAAACACAAGAUCCAAGAUCACUCUCCCGUAUGUGAUUAUUUACUCAUAUCGAGCCAUUUUGCAACCCAGCUUGACUUCUUUUAUUUUGCGAUCUGAGCUAUACACACCAAUAUUAGCCCAUGUAAGUUUGAACCAUAUCUGAACAUGUUAGGCCACUCUCCUGUAUGUGAUGAUUUACUCUAUGGAGCCAUGUUAUGACCUGGCUUGAGUUCUUUUAUUUGCGAUCUGAGCUGCAAAAUAAAAAUAAGAUAAAAAGAGUCCACAUAAUUUGAACCAUAUCUGAACAUUUUAGUACCUGAAUACUGAAAUUACCAAACAUGAUCUUCACUUCGCCAUGUGUGACACCACUGAGUAUUUUAACUAAGCUAGCUGUAGUAAUAUUACGUUUUACAUGGCUAUGCAAGUUAAAGGUUCUAAUAUAGUGUAUGUUUAUUGAUAUUUUGUGUUAUACUGAUUAAUAUACUUCACAUGUAAGUUUUAAGCUAAGAGCUCCUAAUAAUUGUUUCUCCUCUUUGCAGUUGCCAUUUUAGUCAUAUUUUUGUUGAGAUAAAGAAUAAUAUUGAGAUGAAUUUCCUUUCCGAUGAUGAGAUUGGUUAUGCCUAUGUUUUGUAUUUUUUCAGUAUUUUAUUUCAAGCUUCGGUUAGCUGAGAGAGCUAAGAGAUAAUAUGGUAAAUAAUUUCUAUCAAGUGGGUGAGCUCCAUUUUUCAAGGUAAGUCAGGUGACAGCAAAAAAAUACCAAGCAGAUGAGUCUCUUAUCAGUUGAUUUGAUCUUAUCCAGGUUCUAUUUUCGUUCAGGCCAUGAGUUACGAUGUCUUGGUUAGAGCUACUACAUUCAAAGAGUAAAUCUGUUUUGUUGUACUGAAUUUCUGUACAUUGUAUGAAAAAGGUGCAUCUAUUAUGCCCCGUAGAAAUUUUAGCUAAGCAACUGUGUAGACUUACAAAGCUAUCAUGACAGAUGUUAGUGAUUUUUGUAUUGAGGCCAUGUUACAUCUCUAGGGUUGAAUUAAUGGCUAGAAGUUCAGAGUUACAUAGCUGAAAACGGGGUUGCUCGAAGCAAGCUGCUUAUUCAGUAUUUUUAACACUCAUGGAAAAGGUAUAUGCUCAUACUAAAUUCCUAAUUAUUAUUAUAUCACAUAACUGAAAGUGCAUUAGACCAAUGGUGUAGUCCAGUCAAAUUGACUAUCUUUAUUUUCAUGAAAAAAUGGGAUCUAUCAAGCACAUUCAGGAUAUGGACAAACAGAGGGGAAGAAAAUAUGGCGGGGGAAAAAUUUCUCAGAAAUAAAUAAUUUCUGCCCCAUAGCUGAACCGUGUCUUUUCUCAGUGUGUAUAUGUGUUAGAGAUGUGUAUGAUUCAGAUAAUUUUCUUCAUUUGUUAACUUUACCAAUGUAUGGCUGACAUGCUUCAUUAUGUUAUAUCACAUCUGAAAGUGCAUUACACCGGUGGUUUAUUAGAAUGGAUAAUUUCGGUCAAAUAAUUGAGUUGUUCUUUUCUUCGGUGUAUAUACAAGUUACAGAUGUGCAUGAUUAUGUUUAUUCUCUACAUUUGGUAAAUUCACCUAUGUAUGGCUGACAUACUUCUUUAGGUUAUGUUUCUAAAGCUCCAUGCUUAAUCAUCCAGAAUGUUUCCAAGUGACUGCUUUACACAUGGGAGAAUGGAUGCAUGGAGGAGUUCACAGAAGCUGGUGUUAUGUUACAUAUGGUCUUCAAGCUGAUGUUAUGUUUCUUGCAUGGUUUGUAUAUUUGUUGCAAAAAUAUAGUACAAGAAAAAGAUCUAUGCUCAUGAAGAUGGCAGAAGGGAACUACAUGUGGAACAAGAACCACCAGCGCUGACGAGUUGGGCAUCUGGAUAGUGGUAGUGCAAAAAAAUUGCUUGCCCUAUAGAGUCAAUGUAAUCUACCACUAUCCCACUCGCUGAUUUUUAUGUUAUGAAAUUAUAGUUCAACCAUAGUAUGUAUUUACACUCCUGCUGUGAGAUUGUACUAUGUAAAUUAUGGGAGGACAAUGUAGGCCUUUAUAUGCAAAUAACUCCUUGUUGAAA
This is a non-coding RNA of Aegilops tauschii subsp. strangulata, 2944 nucleotides long. The record is from RefSeq and is a predicted model, not a curated record. NCBI's taxonomy places the organism in Eukaryota, Viridiplantae, Streptophyta, Magnoliopsida, Poales, Poaceae.